CCUACGGGAGGCAGCAGGGAGGAAUAUUGGGCAAUGGACGAGAGUCUGAACAAGCCAAGUAGCGUGAAGGAUGAAGGCCCGAGGGGUGGUAAACUUCAUGUAUAAAGGAAUAAAACGAGGUACGUGUGCAUGUUUGCAUGUAUGUUAUGAAGAAGGAUCGGCUAACUCCGUGCCAGCAGCAGCGGUAAUCCGGAGGAUCCGAGCGUUAUCCGGAUUUAUUGGGUUUAAAGGGAGCGUAGAUGGGUUUAUAAGUCAGUUAUAAUAGUUUACGGCUCAACCAUAAAAUUGCAAUUGAUACUGGCAGGCUUGAGUACAGUUGAGGUAGGCGGAAUUCGUGGUGUAGCGGUGAAAUGCUUAGAUAUCACGAAGAACCCCGAUUGCGAAGGCAGCUUACUCAACUGUGCCUGACAUUGAUGCUCGAAAGUGUGGGUAUCAAACAUGAUUAGAUACCCGUGUAGUG
This 460-nucleotide ribosomal RNA is filed under the name uncultured bacterium. RNAcentral's name for it is "partial 16S ribosomal RNA". It matches the Rfam family "Bacterial small subunit ribosomal RNA", at positions 338 to 795 of the family's 1533-position model. The record is from RNAcentral.